AUGGAAGGACUUAAGCUUGAAAUGCACAAAUCAGCAAGCUCAGCACAGUUGCACCAUGACCAGCCACUCCCAGCUGGCUCAGGACAGGUAGCAGGCACUAUGCAUGCAAGACACGUGUGCACUAUGUUCUUAACACAAUGUGUCUCCUUCUGCUUUGUCUCCAGCUGUGUAGGUACCAGACAUAACAAAGAAUGGGAUGGCUCGCAAUUAACAACUGCCUCUGAAGAAGCAAUUCAGAGGCUUCUUAAACAGUGUCGCGUCAUGGCCUCUGGCUCAGAGGAGAACCUUUUCAGUCUGGCCCAAGGCAAUGGCUGCUUGUCAUCUCUGCUGUCCUUGUCCCCCUCCUUUUCUAGUGGCUCUCCAUUCCCUGUCAGGAACUCUGCAGCUGAGUCUGCUGCAAGCAGAGGAAACUGCACCUCAAAAGAAUCUACGGUUUUAGCAUUUCAAGUAAAAGAGGCACCAUCUCCUUCCCCAGUGCAGAGUUGCUUGGUCUCGCUUGCCGACCGUAUGGUUUGUUGUUUUCUGGAGGAGGAGAACCAGCGGUCCACAAAACUACUCCAGAGGUUAGACAGCCAUAUUCACCAGAUGAAAGAAAACCAGGCAAAGACACAGUCCAAGUACCCACCCAGUGUCCCGAGUCCUGCACGCACUUCUGUACACUUCCUGGCGCAGUAGUGGCCCUUCUGGGAAAUCAGAGACAUGAGGACUUUGUCACUGGAUGUGUAUCGGAUCAGUUUGAUGGACUUCCAAAGGCAAACCCAGGACGGGACUUGGACUGUACACCACUGUGCUGUCGGAGGCCCGCAGAUGACACAUUAAAUCAGUUUAGACGGACGGAAAAGGCCUCGGUAAAAGGAGUAAUCAGAAGAGUCUUUGGAGAGUUUUAUUUGUGUUUUAUUGAUGACAAUUGACAUGGAAAAAUUAGGAAACAAGACAGUCAAUUUAGUAAUAAACUGGUUACUUUUCUUAGUUUGAAUUUGGUUUUAACCCGAUUGAGAACGUAUGUAGUUGGAGAAAUCCCUUUCAUUGGAACUUUAUGUUAAACCUUUAAAAUUAAAUUAACAUUUUUCUUUUUUCAUGUGUAAGUGUGGGUCAUGUCGUUCAACAGGAAAAUCAAAUAAUGGUCACAAUGGUCAAGGAGGAGAUCCUGCCCCAAGUGGAGGAGUUUAAGUACCUCGGGGUCUUGUUCACGAGUGAGGGAAGAAUGGAGCAGGAGAUCGACAGGCGGAUCGGUGCGGCGUCCGCAGUAAUGCGGACUCUGCACUGGUCCGUAGUGGUGAAGAGAGAGCUGAGCCGAAAGGCGAAGCUCUCGAUGUACCUGUCGAUCUUCAUUCCUACCCUCACCUAUGGUCAUGAGCUUUGGGUAAUGGCCGAAAGAACAAGAUCACGGGUACAAGCGGCUGAAAUGAGCUUCCUCCGUAGGGUGGCUGGGCUCUCCCUUAGUGAUGGGGUGAGAAGCUCUGCCAUCCGGGAGGAGCUCGGAGUAGAGUCGCUGCUCCUCCACGUUGAGAGGAGCCAGAUGAGGUGGCUUGGGCAUCUAGUUAGGAUACCCCCUGGAGGCCUCCCUGGUGAGGUGUUCAGGGCAUGUCCCUCCGGUAGGUCAAGAUCACAAAUCCAUUAUCUUUUGAAUGUGUUCACCAUGACAUGGUUUUAUUGUUUGAGUUUUCCAUGCCUGACAUGUUCAAAGAAGCGGACGAAUCGGACUCAUUCUACAGGCUGGAGUACUUUACUGUAAAUGUGUCUUCCUGGAAAAAAAAUGCAUUGAUAUUAUGCCCUGAAGACACUCAGACGGUGGAGACGAACAUACCGACUGGUACCAAUACCACUCAAACAUGAAAAUCAGCUCUUAUGAUGAACGUUGAGGAAACUUUCUUUACUUGCAUGUUUGUCGCGCUGUUCGGUAGAAAUAGACCAAAAUCAAUUCUGAAUUAAAAAAAACUGUGUGAUUUUUAUUUGUAACAGAAUACUGGAAUUACUUCCAGAAGCUUCUAGGGUCUUGCCAUGGUCCCUAAACACUGUGUCUCAGUUCAUGAUGGAAGAGCCCUGAUCAUCAUACACCCAUCAGAUUUGGACCAUGACCUGGAGGUCGGCUUCUUCCAUGGAUACUUUUCAUGAUGAACUGGAAAUAUAUAUUUAGAUAUUAAAUUACACCAUUUUUUACAGUGAUACCUUAUCAGCCCAAUAGACCGCUCCGCUCUCAGAAUGCUGGUCUACUUGUGGUUCCCAGAGUUUCUAGGAGUAGAAUGGGGGGCCGAGCAUUUAGCUACCAGGCCCCCCUGCUAUGGAACCAGCUCCCUGUCCAGGUACGGGAGGCUGACUCCAUUGCUACUUUUAAGAUCAGACUCAAAACCUACCUCUUUGAAAAAGCUUAUUGUUACUAUUUCAGUAGUUCCAGUUACUAUCAUAGACAGACAAAUUAUCAUACUUAGGGGGUCGUCUAAUCGUUAGGUCACAUCUUAGCUAUGCUGUUAUAGGCCAAGGCUGCCGGGGUCCGGAAACAUGAUCACCUGACAGGCCUCUGUCACUCCACUGGGUCAUGGUUUCCUCUCCUCUCCUCUCCUUUCCUCUCCUCAUCAAGCAGACUAGUUCUUGUGUAGUUUUUCUGCUCCCCCCCCCCCCCCCCCCCCCCUCUAUUUAUUUACAGGUAUCGCCGCCCUCGGAGCUGCAUAAUGACCUCCGGCCCCGCUGAAGUGAUUGUACAUCAUAUUUUUUGUGUGUGUUUCUGUGCUCUGUGCCUCUCCUCUCCUCUCCUCUCCUCUCCUCUCCUCUCCUCUCCUCUCCCCCUCCUUCUCCUCUCCUCUACCCCUCCCCUCUCCUCUCCUCUCCUCUCCUACCUAUCCUAUCUUCUACCUGUCCUCCCCCUUCUCCUCUCUCUUUACCUAGCCGGCCAUCAGCAGGAGGGUCCCCCUACAUGAGCCUGGUCCUGCUCAAGGUUUCUUCCUGUUAAAGGGGAGUUUUUCCUUGCCACUGUUGCUUGUCUGGGGUCAGGCCCUGGGAUUCUGGAAAGCGCCUUGAAACAAUUUUGAUUGUAUAAGACACUAUAUAAAUAAAGAUUGAUUUGAUUUGAUUUGACAAUCAUCUCUUAAUUAAGUGCCUUGUCAGCCUAAUUUGCAUGUCCAUGUAGCAUUAACAGGACACGUG
RNAcentral lists this long non-coding RNA (3141 nucleotides) under Takifugu rubripes (torafugu). RNAcentral's name for it is "lncRNA (ENSTRUG00000028599.1)". Lineage: Eukaryota; Metazoa; Chordata; Actinopteri; Tetraodontiformes; Tetraodontidae. The record is from RNAcentral.